RNAcentral lists this ribosomal RNA (403 nucleotides) under uncultured bacterium. RNAcentral's name for it is "bacterial SSU rRNA". It matches the Rfam family "Bacterial small subunit ribosomal RNA", at positions 975 to 1375 of the family's 1533-position model. The record is from RNAcentral.
CCAGGCUUGAUCUCCCUGGAACCUGUAAGAGAUGUUGGGGUGCUCUUCGAAUAACCCUGAUACAGGUGCUGACUGGCUGUCGACCUCUCAUGCCUUGAGGUGUUGGGUUAAGUCCCCCAACGAGCGCUACCCCUGUCCUUAGUUGCCAGCAGGUGAAGCUGGGCACUCUAGGGAGACCGCUUCUGAUAACAGAUAGGAACGUGGGGACUACCUCUAGUCCUCAUGGCCCUUACUCCUGGGGCUACACACGUACUACUAUGGUGCAUACAAAGGGCUAGCAAUCCUCGAGGUACAGCUAAUCCCAACUAAUGCAUCUCACUUACGAUUGGAGUCUGCCACUCGACUCCAUGAACUCCGAAUCGCUACUCAUUCUGGAUCACCAUGUCCCGGUGAAUGCAUUCCC